GCAUCAGGUAACAUCAAAUCGUACCCCAAACCGACACAGGUGGUCAGGUAGAGAAUACCAAGGCGCUUGAGAGAACUCGGGUGAAGGAACUAGGCAAAAUGGUGCCGUAACUUCGGGAGAAGGCACGCUGAUAUGUAGGUGAAGCGACUUGCUCGUGGAGCUGAAAUCAGUCGAAGAUACCAGCUGGCUGCAACUGUUUAUUAAAAACACAGCACUGUGCAAACACGAAAGUGGACGUAUACGGUGUGACGCCUGCCCGGUGCCGGAAGGUUAAUUGAUGGGGUUAGCGGCAACGCGAAGCUCUUGAUCGAAGCCCCGGUAAACGGCGGCCGUAACUAUAACGGUCCUAAGGUAGCGAAAUUCCUUGUCGGGUAAGUUCCGACCUGCACGAAUGGCGUAAUGAUGGCCAGGCUGUCUCCACCCGAGACUCAGUGAAAUUGAACUCGCUGUGAAGAUGCAGUGUACCCGCGGCAAGACGGAAAGACCCCGUGAACCUUUACUAUAGCUUGACACUGAACAUUGAGCCUUGAUGUGUAGGAUAGGUGGGAGGCUUUGAAGUGUGGACGCCAGUCUGCAUGGAGCCGACCUUGAAAUACCACCCUUUAAUGUUUGAUGUUCUAACGUUGGCCCGUAAUCCGGGUUGCGGACAGUGUCUGGUGGGUAGUUUGACUGGGGCGGUCUCCUCCUAAAGAGUAACGGAGGAGCACGAAGGUUGGCUAAUCCUGGUCGGACAUCAGGAGGUUAGUGCAAUGGCAUAAGCCAGCUUGACUGCGAGCGUGACGGCGCGAGCAGGUGCGAAAGCAGGUCAUAGUGAUCCGGUGGUUCUGAAUGGAAGGGCCAUCGCUCAACGGAUAAAAGGUACUCCGGGGAUAACAGGCUGAUACCGCCCAAGAGUUCAUAUCGACGGCGGUGUUUGGCACCUCGAUGUCGGCUCAUCACAUCCUGGGGCUGAAGUAGGUCCCAAGGGUAUGGCUGUUCGCCAUUUAAAGUGGUACGCGAGCUGGGUUUAGAACGUCGUGAGACAGUUCGGUCCCUAUCUGCCGUGGGCGCUGGAGAACUGAGGGGGGCUGCUCCUAGUACGAGAGGACCGGAGUGGACGCAUCACUGGUGUUCGGGUUGUCAUGCCAAUGGCACUGCCCGGUAGCUAAAUGCGGAAGAGAUAAGUGCUGAAAGCAUCUAAGCACGAAACUUGCCCCGAGAUGAGUUCUCCCUGACUCCUUGAGGGUCCUGAAGGAACGUUGAAGACGACGACGUUGAUAGGCCGGGUGUGUAAGCGCAGCGAUGCGUUGAGCUAACCGGUACUAAUGAACCGUGAGGCUUAACCUU
RNAcentral lists this ribosomal RNA (1326 nucleotides) under Escherichia coli UMEA 3257-1. Its description in RNAcentral is "bacterial LSU rRNA". It matches the Rfam family "Bacterial large subunit ribosomal RNA", at positions 1624 to 2925 of the family's 2925-position model. The record is from RNAcentral. Lineage: Bacteria; Pseudomonadati; Pseudomonadota; Gammaproteobacteria; Enterobacterales; Enterobacteriaceae.